AGAGUUUGAUCAUGGCUCAGAAUCAACGCUGGCGGCGUGCCUAACACAUGCAAGUCGCACGAGAAAGGGGAGCAAUCCCUGAGUAAAGUGGCGCACGGGUGAGUAACACGUGAAUCAUCUACCUCCGAGUGGGGAAUAACCUAGAGAAAUCUGGGCUAAUACCGCAUAACACUUACGAGUCAAAGCAGCAAUGCGCUUGGAGAGGAGUUCGCGGCCGAUUAGCUAGUUGGCGGGGUAAUGGCCCACCAAGGCGAUGAUCGGUAUCCGGCCUGAGAGGGCGCACGGACACACUGGAACUGAAACACGGUCCAGACUCCUACGGGAGGCAGCAGUGGGGAAUUUUGCGCAAUGGGGGAAACCCUGACGCAGCAACGCCGCGUGGAGGAUGAAAUAUCUUGGUAUGUAAACUCCUUUCGAUGGGGAAGAUUAUGACGGUACCCAUAGAAGAAGCCCCGGCUAACUUCGUGCCAGCAGCCGCGGUAAUACGAGGGAGGCAAGCGUUGUUCGGAUUUAUUGGGCGUAAAGGGUGCGUAGGCGGUUUGGCAAGUCUUAUGUGAAAUCUUCGGGCUCAACCCGAAGCCUGCAUAAGAAACUGCCGGGCUUGAGUAUGGGAGAGGUGAGUGGAAUUUCCGGUGUAGCGGUGAAAUGCGUAGAUAUCGGAAGGAACACCUGUGGCGAAAGCGGCUCACUGGACCAUAACUGACGCUGAUGCACGAAAGCUAGGGGAGCAAACAGGAUUAGAUACCCUAGUAGUCC
Molecule: ribosomal RNA, 756 nt
Filed under: uncultured bacterium
Lineage: Bacteria
Description: bacterial SSU rRNA
Rfam family: Bacterial small subunit ribosomal RNA
Source: RNAcentral